RNAcentral lists this unclassified non-coding RNA (357 nucleotides) under fungal sp. Its description in RNAcentral is "partial internal transcribed spacer region". The stretch from base 1 to 46 matches the Rfam family "Eukaryotic small subunit ribosomal RNA", at positions 1786 to 1831 of the family's 1831-position model. Lineage: Eukaryota; Fungi. The record is from RNAcentral.
AAGUCGUAACAAGGUUUCCGUAGGUGAACCUGCGGAAGGAUCAUUAACGAAGUUAAAGCUUGGUCAGUGCAAUACAUGCACGACCGAGUCUCCUUCUCUAUCACACCCCUGUGCACACAUAUGCUUAGGCUUCAACGGAUCGGGGAGAGGCGCGUCUAAUUAGGAUUUAGCCUAGUAGGUGUGGGUCCAGCGAUGGACACGCGGCCGAAAGGUUAAUCUUGAUCGGAAGCAGUAGUAUUCUCGGUCUCGCGGACCUAAUCUAAAUAUAACAACCCAUUAUAAACAAGUCUAAUAGAACGUCUAGUCCUACGGGACACUAAGUUAAUACAACUUUCAACAACGGAUCUCUUGGCUCUC